ACAGCAGUAGCCGCGGUAAUACGGAGGGUGCAAGCGUUAAUCGGAAUUACUGGGCGUAAAGCGCACGCAGGCGUUCUGACAAGUCAGAUGUGAAAUCCCCGGGCUUAACCUGGGAACUGCAUUUGAAACUGUCAGGCUGGAGUCUUGUAGAGGGGGGUGGAAUUCCAGGUGUAGCGGUGAAAUGCGUAGAGAUCUGGAGGAAUACCGGUGGCGAAGGCGGCCCCCUGGACAAAGACUGACGCUCAGGUGCGAAAGCGUGGGGAGCAAACAGGAUUAGAUACCCGGGUAGUUCCUGUCUCUUAUAC
This 305-nucleotide ribosomal RNA is filed under the name uncultured bacterium. Its description in RNAcentral is "partial 16S ribosomal RNA". It matches the Rfam family "Bacterial small subunit ribosomal RNA", at positions 508 to 807 of the family's 1533-position model. The record is from RNAcentral.